GAUGAAGAACGCAGCGAAAUGCGAUAAGUAAUGUGAAUUGCAGAAUUCAGUGAAUCAUCGUAUCUUUGAACGCACAUUGCGCCCCUUGGUAUUCCGAGGGGCAUGCCUGUUCGAGCGUCAUUAUAACCCCUCAAGCUCAGCUUGGUGUUGGGGCCUGCUGCACUGGCAGCCCUUAAAAUCAGUGGCGGCGCCAUCUGGCUCUAAGCGUAGUAAUUCUUCUCGCUAUGGAGUCCUGGUGGAUGCUUGCCAUCAACCCCCAAUUUUUCUAUGGUUGACCUCGGAUCAGGUAGGGAUACCCGCUGAACUUAAGCAUAUCAAUAAGCGGAGGA
This 329-nucleotide unclassified non-coding RNA is filed under the name soil metagenome. RNAcentral describes it as "partial contains 5.8S ribosomal RNA, internal transcribed spacer 2, and large subunit ribosomal RNA". The stretch from base 1 to 120 matches the Rfam family "5.8S ribosomal RNA", at positions 35 to 154 of the family's 154-position model. The record is from RNAcentral.